CAGUGUGACUCGUCACACUAUCAUUAACUGAAUCCAUAGGUUAAUGAGGCGAACCGGGGGAACUGAAACAUCUAAGUACCCCGAGGAAAAGAAAUCAACCGAGAUUCCCCCAGUAGCGGCGAGCGAACGGGGAGGAGCCCAGAGCCUGAAUCAGCAUGUGUGUUAGUGGAAGCGUCUGGAAAGGCGCGCGAUACAGGGUGACAGCCCCGUACACAAAAGCGCAUGUGCUGUGAGCUCGAUGAGUAGGGCGGGACACGUGGUAUCCUGUCUGAAUAUGGGGGGACCAUCCUCCAAGGCUAAAUACUCCUGACUGACCGAUAGUGAACCAGUACCGUGAGGGAAAGGCGAAAAGAACCCCGGCGAGGGGAGUGAAAAAGAACCUGAAACCGUGUACGUACAAGCAGUGGGAGCACCCUUUGGGUGUGACUGCGUACCUUUUGUAUAAUGGGUCAGCGACUUAUAUUCUGUAGCAAGGUUAACCGAAUAGGGGAGCCGGAGGGAAACCGAGUCUUAAUUGGGCGUUAAGUUGCAGGGUAUAGACCCGAAACCCGGUGAUCUAGCCAUGGGCAGGUUGAAGGUUGGGUAACACUAACUGGAGGACCGAACCGACUAAUGUUGAAAAAUUAGCGGAUGACCUGUGGCUGGGGGUGAAAGGCCAAUCAAACCGGGAGAUAGCUGGUUCUCCCCGAAAGCUAUUUAGGUAGCGCCUCGUGAAUUCAUCUCCGGGGGUAGAGCACUGUUUCGGCUAGGGGGCCAUCCCGGCUUACCAACCCGAUGCAAACUGCGAAUACCGGAGAAUGUUAUCACGGGAGACACACGGCGGGUGCUAACGUCCGUCGUGAAGAGGGAAACAACCCAGACCGCCAGCUAAGGUCCCAAAGUCAUGGUUAAGUGGGAAACGAUGUGGGAAGGCCCAGACAGCCAGGAUGUUGGCUUAGAAGCAGCCAUCAUUUAAAGAAAGCGUAAUAGCUCACUGGUCGAGUCGGCCUGCGCGGAAGAUGUAACGGGGCUAAACCAUGCACCGAAGCUGCGGCAGCGACACUGUGUGUUGUUGGGUAGGGGAGCGUUCUGUAAGCCUGUGAAGGUGUGUCGUGAGGCAUGCUGGAGGUAUCAGAAGUGCGAAUGCUGACAUAAGUAACGAUAAAGCGGGUGAAAAGCCCGCUCGCCGGAAGACCAAGGGUUCCUGUCCAACGUUAAUCGGGGCAGGGUGAGUCGACCCCUAAGGCGAGGCCGAAAGGCGUAGUCGAUGGGAAACGGGUUAAUAUUCCCGUACUUGGUGUUACUGCGAAGGGGGGACGGAGAAGGCUAUGUUGGCCGGGCGACGGUUGUCCCGGUUUAAGCGUGUAGGUGUGUGUUCCAGGUAAAUCCGGUUCACUUUAACACUGAGGCGUGACGACGAGGCACUACGGUGCUGAAGCAACAAAUGCCCUGCUUCCAGGAAAAGCCUCUAAGCAUCAGGUAACAUCAAAUCGUACCCCAAACCGACACAGGUGGUCAGGUAGAGAAUACCAAGGCGCUUGAGAGAACUCGGGUGAAGGAACUAGGCAAAAUGGUGCCGUAACUUCGGGAGAAGGCACGCUGACACGUAGGUGAAGUGAUUUACUCAUGGAGCUGAAGUCAGUCGAAGAUACCAGCUGGCUGCAACUGUUUAUUAAAAACACAGCACUGUGCAAACACGAAAGUGGACGUAUACGGUGUGACGCCUGCCCGGUGCCGGAAGGUUAAUUGAUGGGGUCAGCGCAAGCGAAGCUCCUGAUCGAAGCCCCGGUAAACGGCGGCCGUAACUAUAACGGUCCUAAGGUAGCGAAAUUCCUUGUCGGGUAAGUUCCGACCUGCACGAAUGGCGUAAUGAUGGCCAGGCUGUCUCCACCCGAGACUCAGUGAAAUUGAACUCGCUGUGAAGAUGCAGUGUACCCGCGGCAAGACGGAAAGACCCCGUGAACCUUUACUAUAGCUUGACACUGAACAUUGAGCCUUGAUGUGUAGGAUAGGUGGGAGGCUUUGAAGUGUGGACGCCAGUCUGCAUGGAGCCGACCUUGAAAUACCACCCUUUAAUGUUUGAUGUUCUAACGUGGACCCGUUACCCGGGUUGCGGACAGUGUCUGGUGGGUAGUUUGACUGGGGCGGUCUCCUCCUAAAGAGUAACGGAGGAGCACGAAGGUUGGCUAAUCCUGGUCGGACAUCAGGAGGUUAGUGCAAUGGCAUAAGCCAGCUUGACUGCGAGCGUGACGGCGCGAGCAGGUGCGAAAGCAGGUCAUAGUGAUCCGGUGGUUCUGAAUGGAAGGGCCAUCGCUCAACGGAUAAAAGGUACUCCGGGGAUAACAGGCUGAUACCGCCCAAGAGUUCAUAUCGACGGCGGUGUUUGGCACCUCGAUGUCGGCUCAUCACAUCCUGGGGCUGAAGUAGGUCCCAAGGGUAUGGCUGUUCGCCAUUUAAAGUGGUACGCGAGCUGGGUUUAGAACGUCGUGAGACAGUUCGGUCCCUAUCUGCCGUGGGCGCUGGAGAACUGAGGGGGGCUGCUCCUAGUACGAGAGGACCGGAGUGGACGCAUCACUGGUGUUCGGGUUGUCAUGCCAAUGGCACUGCCCGGUAGCUAAAUGCGGAAGAGAUAAGUGCUGAAAGCAUCUAAGCACGAAACUUGCCCCGA
This 2647-nucleotide ribosomal RNA is filed under the name Salmonella enterica subsp. enterica serovar Enteritidis. RNAcentral's name for it is "partial 23S ribosomal RNA". It matches the Rfam family "Bacterial large subunit ribosomal RNA". Lineage: Bacteria; Pseudomonadati; Pseudomonadota; Gammaproteobacteria; Enterobacterales; Enterobacteriaceae. The record is from RNAcentral.